UUUGUCAGUUUGGUGUUACAUCUGCGAUGCAUAUUUGGAUGCUGAAGUGAUUUCCCAACUGCGACCUGUUUAUGAGACUGCUUCCAUACUGAAAUCUGGUAAGGCGGCAUGAUUUCAAUCGGGCUGGGUGGAAGCUCAGACGUCGUGUGAGCACUUGACCUCGCUAUUGUCUGAUCUCGCCCACAUACCAAUCCCUGAUACACCCUGCAACAGUUGGGAUGUAUAAGGUGUGACCACCCGAGGGAAAACUGGUUAUGUUUGAGCUGUAAGGAUGUGCUUUGCAGCCGUUUGGUGAACAAGCAUAUGCUUCAGCAUUUCCACCAAACAAACCAUUCUGUAGCGCUCAGUUACAGUGAUUGUCAGUUUGUUGUUUCAUCUGCGAUCCAUAUUUGGAUGCUCAAGUGAUUUCCCAACUGCGACCUUUUUGUGGGACUGCUUACAUACUGAAAUUUGGUGAGGUGUCACCGGUUCGGACGGCUGAACUUACCAAGGUGAAAGAUGAUCAAGCUGAGGCUAAAUCGUUAGACAGUUAAAUAUUAGUUUUGGUUUUGUAGUUUUACUUUAAUGUAUCUUUGGUGUUGGAAUGGACAUGGUUUGACUUUCAGAUUUCUGAUUGAUUACCUAAAGCUAAUGCAAAAUGAGAAGCAUUUCAGUGUACUGUAAAAUUUAUGAUUGAUAUAUCAUGUCAAGACUCA
Molecule: long non-coding RNA, 695 nt
Organism: Pistacia vera
Lineage: Eukaryota; Viridiplantae; Streptophyta; Magnoliopsida; Sapindales; Anacardiaceae
Exons: 3
Source: RefSeq, a predicted model, not a curated record